RNA transcript from Brachypodium distachyon (stiff brome), 2579 nucleotides. RefSeq lists it as uncharacterized. Lineage: Eukaryota; Viridiplantae; Streptophyta; Magnoliopsida; Poales; Poaceae. The record is from RefSeq and is a predicted model, not a curated record. The transcript has 9 exons.
CCGCCCGCCGCCGCCCGCAGCCCAUCCCGGCCGGCCACCCGCCACCCGCCACCCGCAGGUCCCAGCCGCCCCGCCACCCAUAGGCCCCUCCCUAGCCUGCGACCCGCCACUCCAUCCGGCGGCGCGGCGUGGGGAUCUCGCCGCCACUCACGGCCACACGCCGUGGGGAUCCCGCCGCCGCUCCUGCUCUCUCUCUCCCUCCCGCACCAUACUCCUCCCUCCCAGACUACCCGUGUUGCAGCUAGCUCGCUAUCUAUGGUGACGCUUGCUGGAAGGUGACGGAAGACUGGACGCCGGCGACCUCACUCUCUACUGCUUGGCCGAAGCUCCAUUCUGUUUUGAGUCUUCUGCGAAUCUGACGAGCUAGACUAGGAGGUCCAGUCCAGAAUCGAUGGAUGUAUCAAUUUGAAAGGAGAUGGAGGGGCUUCGACAUAAGGAAGUCAUCGCGUGCUGGUACUAGUGGAGGCAACAACCAAGGUACUGGUGGAGGCAGCAGCCAAGGUAUUGGUGGAGGUGGAGGCAGCAGCCAAGGUACUGGUGGAGGCAGCAGCCAAAGGAGCGUUACUUGCCAUGGAGAUCACCCCAGCAAAAGGAACAUCCAAAUAUCUAAUUCUGGCGGUAUUGCAGCUGAAAGAAACAACGAGAUACCCAUCUGUGUAGAAACAAGAGGGAGGCAAAAGAGGUCAAGGACUGAGCUGAGAAACGACGAGAUACCCAACUCUGGUGGCAUUGUAGCUAGAAGGAAUAGCUAACUCCGGAGGAGGAACUGAUUCUGUUCGUACUAAAAGGGCAGCAGCUGUAGAAACAAGAGGGAGGCGCAAGAGGUCAAGGACUGAGAUGAGAAAUCCUCUACGAGGACGGAAAGUGGUCCUUAUACCUCAGGGCAAUUCACGUACAGAGACUAUACUUGCGGUGACUACAAGUACACCACCCAGCUUGGAUGUAUUCUGAAACGACAAUACCCUGGUGUUUUGAAGGACGCGGAUGGAGAAUUAUAUCCAGCAACGACAUGGGCGGAUUUCUAUGAGAAGACUAAUGACCAAGGAGAGACAUGUGCACACAAAGUGAAGAAGGAAUUUUGGCGUUUGUUCACCGUGGCUGAUGAACACAAGCGAGAGGCUGCCCGUGUUCUUGAAAACUAUUGUAGAAAGAGAGUUCGGAACAUAAUGUACCAAGUUCGGGUGGAUGCUGUGAAGCUGCAUUAUGAGAACCAAGGAGAGAUUCUUGAUGACACUCUUGCAUGUCGUAGAGAACUUGAUGAGAAUGAGUACCUCAAUGUUAGGGUAGAAUGGUGCAAAAAGGAUGUUUGGCCCCUUCUUGCUGCAUACUGGGAUAGUGCUGAGUUCAAGGAAAAAAGAUCAAAAGCCCAAGAUUCUUGCUUUGGUUCUGAAAAUAAUGCUCAAAACAGAGGGGGUUCACGCCCAUUUACGGAGACACAACAAUACAUUGAAGCUAUACAUGGACCCGAAAAGGCUACAAUUUUGAACAAAUAUGCCGUCAUGAAAUCAGGUGCCAAGAAUAUGGACAGUAAUGGAAGUAGUGGAGCAAUCCCCAGCCAGAAAGCACAAAAGCGCAUGAGGGACUACUAGGAAAGAGUUGCAGCUGCACAUCCAAAUGAUUCAGAGCAGCCAUAAGUAGAUGGACAUGUCUUGUACACAAAGGGCGGUGGUCUGCCUCAUGGCCGCUUUCUUAUAGGAGAUGGCGCUGUGAGAAAGGCGGAUGUUGUUGCUGCAGCUAAAGGAAGGAAAGCUAGGCCAUCAACUUCUGAUUCUUAUUGACACUUGUCCGAAGAGAAUCACCAACUCCGACGUGCUAACGAGGGCCUAACACAACACAAUCAACAUCUAACCCAGCAACAAGAGGUUGACCACGAACUGAUCAUGAUGCUUUUUGCUGAGCUUGGAAAGGAACCACCAGGACAUUUAUUGAGUUGUCGGCAACAGGUUCAAGCGCAGUUUCAGAGGGCACCUGGUUCUUCACAUGCUGGCUCACAAUCAAUCUAGAAUUAUUGAAUGGAUGGUGCUGGAACAAGUGCUAAUGGCAACAACAACAAUGCUACCAAUCUGGAGAUCAAUGACACUGCUACCGACUUGGACAAAAAUGGGAGACUCAAUGUAGAUGGGGAGAAUGAAUCUGAUUAUAAUAGUGAAGCUUUAUAUGCUGACAGUGAUAUUGAUGUUGGCCGUGAAGCGGAUGAUGAUGCUCGUGUUUGCUGUGAAGCGGAUGAUGAUGCUCGUGCUGGCCGUGAAGCUGAUCAUGAUGCAAGCUAGUGCUGGUCGUGCGAACUGUGUAGUACCAGAUCACAAAGUUUUUUUUUUUUGCUGAUUUGGUUCUAACAAUGGUCAUCUGUAGCUAGUGCUGACCGUGACCACUGAGUACUAGAAGAUCACAAACUGUCUUCUUUUUGGCGAUUUGAGGUUCAACAAUGGUCAUCUGUAGCAACCAUUCCUUUUGGAUGCUUGAAUCUGACCAGUAGUUGAAAUAUGUUGUAUGGACACAAAAUGAUAUCUUUGACUUCCUGUAAUGUUCGUUAUGAUUUGGAUGAUGAAUGCAAGGUUGUGUUGAUGUCAUGCAUCUAA